RNAcentral lists this unclassified non-coding RNA (999 nucleotides) under Hevea brasiliensis (rubber tree). Lineage: Eukaryota; Viridiplantae; Streptophyta; Magnoliopsida; Malpighiales; Euphorbiaceae. The record is from RNAcentral.
GUCAGAUGUGUAGAACCCAGAGAUGGUUGAACUUGCAUGUAUUUAAUUCCCUACCAAAUCCUCCUUCCAAUUGAAAGCAAAUGAUAAAAAACACGUUUAGAGAUAGUUGUGAGAAACUAUAAUUACAGAAUGAAAAAGAGACUAAAAUGUAAAUAUACCCAGUGUCUCAAGCUUCGACUGUGAGAAAUGACUAAACUCCUUACACUACAAAAUUUUACUCCAAACUAGCUUUUUCUGACAUGGAGGGAAUAACGGCCAACUGUGCUUUAAGUUACAACCAUCUCUGGGUUCUACACAUCUGACUGCUCAAAUGGGACACGCACAAACAACUGCCCAUGCAGGGUGACCACAGCAGAUGUCUGAUGUGGAUCAAUUCUUGAAGGUAAGCUGACAACCUUUUUAAAGGGUGUGACACCCCAAGGAUUAUCCAGUUGCUCUGGUUGACCAGAUAUAAUCAACCGUCCUCCUCACGCAAAAGCCCUGGAACUAAAGCAUAUAUUUCAAAGCAGUCAUUAGUUCUUUGCACAUUGAUCUUCACCCAAUCAGCUGGAGGUCCAAGGUCAACCACCUCUACGCCUGCAGUUUCAUUGUUUUCAUGUGAGGAACAUGGACAGCACGCUCAACAUUCGAUGGCUUUUUACGCUUCAGUAAACCAUUAGAUUUUAGCUGCUUGUCACUCUUUGGUGUAGAAUUCAAGUUCUUGUCCUUGAUGAUUGGAUCACAAACCUGACCAUUAUUAAGAAGACGCUGGGAGUGCCAUCCCUGCAUGGCACGAGCUGCAGCAUCCCUUCGUGCCCUACCUGAUCCAGGAGCUUGACUUCCUGGUGCCUGAUUUUCAACCCUAAUAGGCUCUGUCACGGAAGCAUCAGAAAAAGGGAGCUCCCCACAAUGCAUUUUAUGCUUUUCAUAUUCAAGUAAUGCCUUCUCAUAGAAAAUUCGGAAUGUCCACGAGACAGUAGUGCAGGUCUUUGGGGGUCUGAAUGAUUCUCCCACUUGCCG